Molecule: ribosomal RNA, 468 nt
Filed under: uncultured bacterium
Lineage: Bacteria
Description: partial 16S ribosomal RNA
Rfam family: Bacterial small subunit ribosomal RNA
Source: RNAcentral
GACGAACGCUGGCGGCGUGCUUAACACAUGCAAGUCGAGCGGAAGGGCCCGGCGUUUGUGGGGUGCUCGAGUGGCGAACGGGUGAGUAACACGUGAGUAACCUGCCCUUGACCUUGGGGGAACUUCAGGAAACUGGGGCUAAUACCGGAUAGGAGCUCCUGCUGCAUGGGGGGGGUUGGAAAGUUUCGGCGGUUGGGGAUGGACUCGCGGCUUAUCAGCUUGUUGGUGGGGUAGUGGCUUACCAAGGCUUUGACGGGUAGCCGGCCUGAGAGGGUGAACGGCCACAUUGGGACUGAGAUACGGACCAGAAUCCUACGGGAGGCAGCAGUGGGGAAUAUUGCACAAUGGGCGGAAGCCUGAUGCGGAGACGCCGGGUGCGGGAUGACGGCCUUCGGGUUGUAAACAGCUUUCGAAUGUGCCGAAGAGUGAGUGACGGUACUGGGUAAAGAAGCCCCGGCUAACUACGUG